AAGAUUUUAAGUUAAUUAAACUAAUAGCCUUCAAAGCUGUCAAUAAAAGUUAUUGCCUUUUAAAUCUUA
Molecule: transfer RNA, 69 nt
Filed under: Petrobius brevistylis
Lineage: Eukaryota; Metazoa; Arthropoda; Insecta; Archaeognatha; Machilidae
Description: tRNA-Trp
Rfam family: tRNA
About the family: Transfer RNA (tRNA) molecules are approximately 80 nucleotides in length. Their secondary structure includes four short double-helical elements and three loops (D, anti-codon, and T loops).
Source: RNAcentral